GAAUCAGGCAAGGUGAUCGAUGGAUGUG
RNAcentral lists this non-coding RNA (28 nucleotides) under Homo sapiens (human). Lineage: Eukaryota; Metazoa; Chordata; Mammalia; Primates; Hominidae. The record is from RNAcentral.